Molecule: ribosomal RNA, 253 nt
Filed under: uncultured bacterium
Lineage: Bacteria
Description: partial 16S ribosomal RNA
Rfam family: Bacterial small subunit ribosomal RNA
Source: RNAcentral
UACGUAGGGUGCAAGCGUUGUCCGGAAUUAUUGGGCGUAAAGAGCUCGUAGGCGGUUUGUCGCGUCUGCUGUGAAAACCCGAGGAUCAACCUCGGGCCUGCAGUGGGUACGGGCAGACUAGAGUGCGGUAGGGGAGAUUGGAAUUCCUGGUGUAGCGGUGGAAUGCGCAGAUAUCAGGAGGAACACCAAUGGCGAAGGCAGAUCUCUGGGCCGUAACUGACGCUGAGGUGCGAGGGCGUGGGGAGCGAACCGG